CUAAUGUGCCGUGUUUGCUUAUAUAUUGCCGGCUCUCUUCCAUACAGAUUAAUCCCAGGAUUUUACUAGAAGAGGGAGAUUGUCCCUCAGUCAUGUUUCCCCCUGACUCUUCCUGGAACAUUUCCUUUGCUGGCUGUGGCUUCCUGGGGAUCUAUCACAUUGGAGUGGCCAGCUGCCUGAAGGAACAUGCGCCUUUCCUGGUAGAGAAUGCUAAGAACAUCUAUGGAGCGUCUGCUGGAGCCCUCACUGCUACUGCCCUGGUCAGUGGAGCUUGCCUGGGUGAGUUAUCAAUAGCAAUCUACGUGAGAAUACACGUACUGUUAUAUUACAAAGUGAC
Molecule: long non-coding RNA, 337 nt
Filed under: Pelobates cultripes (western spadefoot toad)
Lineage: Eukaryota; Metazoa; Chordata; Amphibia; Anura; Pelobatidae
Source: RNAcentral